RNAcentral lists this long non-coding RNA (228 nucleotides) under Elaeis guineensis (African oil palm). RNAcentral describes it as "long non-coding RNA (EGUI_LNC007401)". Lineage: Eukaryota; Viridiplantae; Streptophyta; Magnoliopsida; Arecales; Arecaceae. The record is from RNAcentral.
GGUGCCAUCAUUGUCAUCCCCCACUAUCGCCUCAGGCUCGAGCAUCGCCUUCCCUCUUCCUCAGUGUGCUCGGCUUUUCUCGAGUCCUGACCAGACUAGCAUUUUUCCUCCACACCACUGUGCCUUCUUCUCACACCUAUGUGCCUCCUCUUCAUACCCCUGUGCCUCCUCGCCUUCUCUUCUUCCCAUCUCCUCUCCACCUCUCGGGCCCCAGUGUCCUCCCCGCCU